AGGUUGCUUCGGUAACUGACCUAGCGGCGGACGGGUGAGUAAUGCUUAGGAAUCUGCCUAUUAGUGGGGGACAACAUUCCGAAAGGAAUGCUAAUACCGCAUACGUCCUACGGGGGAAAGCAGGGGAUCUUCGGACCUUGCGCUAAUAGAUGAGCCUAAGUCGGAUUAGCUAGUUGGUGGGGUAAAGGCCUACCAAGGCGACGAUCUGUAGCGGGUCUGAGAGGAUGAUCCGCCACACUGGGACUGAGACACGGCCCAGACUCCUACGGGAGGCAGCAGUGGGGAAUAUUGGACAAUGGGGGGAACCCUGAUCCAGCCAUGCCGCGUGUGUGAAGAAGGCCUUUUGGUUGUAAAGCACUUUAAGCGAGGAGGAGGCUCCUUUAGUUAAUACCUAAAGUGAGUGGACGUUACUCGCAGAAUAAGCACCGGCUAACUCUGUGCCAGCAGCCGCGGUAAUACAGAGGGUGCGAGCGUUAAUCGGAUUUACUGGGCGUAAAGCGUGCGUAGGCGGCUUUUUAAGUCGGAUGUGAAAUCCCUGAGCUUAACUUAGGAAUUGCAUUCGAUACUGGAAAGCUAGAGUAUGGGAGAGGAUGGUAGAAUUCCAGGUGUAGCGGUGAAAUGCGUAGAGAUCUGGAGGAAUACCGAUGGCGAAGGCAGCCAUCUGGCCUAAUACUGACGCUGAGGUACGAAAGCAUGGGGAGCAAACAGGAUUAGAUACCCUGGUAGUCCAUGCCGUAAACGAUGUCUACUAGCCGUUGGGGCCUUUGAGGCUUUAGUGGCGCAGCU
Molecule: ribosomal RNA, 786 nt
Filed under: uncultured bacterium
Lineage: Bacteria
Description: SSU rRNA
Rfam family: Bacterial small subunit ribosomal RNA
Source: RNAcentral